AAUGAAUUGCCGAAAUUGCCCUUGCUUAGCUUUGUGCAUUUGCUUGCCAUCUGUAUUGGAGAAUACAGCUGUUUCUUCAGGCCUUAGCUUCCUUUGACUUCCAGCUAAGGUGGGUUGAAGCUUGGCUGCUCUUUCUCAUUUCCUCAACUCAUUCACCGACUUCAUUCGCUCUCUGCCAGAAACCUAGAGAGAGAAACCUUCGACUCCUUCAGCAAUCACCGAUCAUCCAUUCGAUGAUGAUUAUGGGGCUUCGGUUCUUCUUUGGGGUAAGAUCUUUAUCCUUUUUAUAAGCAUCUAAUAUCAAUUUGACAAUCUAGGGUAUAACUAUAAUUUUAUACAAGUCCACUAAUCCUUUUUUGUGCUAUGUUUUUUUUGGUAAUUCUUCUUGAUUAAUAAUCUGAAUUUCGAUUGAGAAACCGAAGGAUGAACAGCCUUGCCCCCAACAUUAAUGUUUGGUACGAACUGGAAAUUAUGAGGUUUUUUUACAUAGUCAAAAAAAACCUGACCUUCUUCUCAAGGAUUCGGAUAAUCUCAGAGAAGCUCUCAAGUACUCUGCUCAAAUGCUUACGGAGCUCCAAAACUCUAAACUUUCUUCUCCUCAUAAGUAUAUCGAACCGUCUAUGAGAGCUUUCAACGAAUUAAGGAAGCUGGAAUGGUUCUUUAAGGAUGAGAGCAGGCAUGGCUUUUCAGAUUUUGAUCUUUACGAACUUGUUCAACAUGGUAGCAACGUGCUACGGAGGCUGUUUCCCAAAAUGAGAAAGUACGAGGCAUUGCUCGUCUCAAAGAGGAGCCUCCCCCGGCGCUGUGUUUUGCUGUAAGUACUGUGCAGGGAGGGGGCGUGGUGGUUCAGAUAGACAGCAGGUUCCGGUAUGUGAGAAGUGCAAGAAGGUGGGACACGAGACCACCAAGUGUUGGUCCGAUAAAAUCUGCAAUUUCUGUAAAAAAAAAAGGGGGCAUGAAGAGAACCGUUGCUAUGAUAAAUAUGGCUGGCCGGAAGGGACUGCUGGCAGUCGGGGGGGGGGGGGGGGCAGCCUUCGGCAGGUCGUGGCGGUCCCGUGAAGGCUAAUGCGGUUGCAAGUGGUGGCUCGAACUCAGAGGACACAAGUUCUUUUGCUUCGGGUCCGUUUUUGGGUUUAUUUGUUCGAUUGUUUUUUGAUUUUUAAUGGGUUUAUUUGUUCUAAUUAAUUUCGUUUUUUGGGUUGAAUUUUAGUGCCUUCUUCGAUUGUGUGGUGGUUUUUUUUGGGUUGAAUUUGAGUGAUUUAUGUUUUUUGGGUCGAUUUUUUAUAUUGUUAGUAGCAUUAUUGUCUGAUUUGUAACAGAAUUGUUGAUCUCCAGGUACAAUUCUAUCUCCCCUUUCUCUUUCUUGUUCUAAUUGAUUCUAUUUUCAUCUAACCUUUAAUAUGAAUGUAUGUGUUUUUUUGGUUUUGUUUUGUUUAUUUCUCCUCUAUUUUCCUUCUUCUUUUUUUUUCUCAUCCUGCAGUUUCUCUGUUUUUUUCUUCUAAAAUAGGCGGAAGGAGUAAGACGGAGCAAGGUUUGGUGGAUUCGAGUUUGAGCUGAAGAAACUCAGAUAUUAUUGCAUGGUCAAUUUGUUUUUAAUUUAUUUAUUUAAUUUCUAGAAUGUAAUGAUUUAUUUAUGAUCUGUGCUGUGAUUUGUGUGUUAUUGUUGAUGGUUGUUUGUGUUUUGUGGAAUUGAUGGAAUUUUAAUUUGAUUGAGAAAGAAGCUCGGUUAAUGUUAGGCGUUUUUUUUUUUUUUUUUUUUUUUUUUUGUCAAAUCUGAAGUGUUUUUAGUAAAUUGGUAAAUAAAUUGGUGAGAGUUUUGAGUGGUAAUUUUACACAUUGAUGAAGUGUUUUGUUGUUCAAGAAUUUUAGGUAAUGCUUAAAUUAGGUUUUAUUUGUACCAUUAUUGUUAAAUUCGGUUUGAAAUUUUGUGUUCUUUUGUAAGAGUGAUGUAUGAUGUGGUGGAGACUCGAUCUCCUUAGAUUAACUCCCAAUCAAAUGUGGAUCAUGUCACCACGUGGCUUAGCUUGUUAUUAUUUAGGGACAGAGGAAGUAGUUUUAUAUUACUUGUUAUAGUGGUAUAUGAAUUUGUCGGGCAGCAGAAUAGAGGUAAUACUAAAAUACAGCUUAUUGGUAGAUGGUGUCCUGAUUAGCCGAUUAUUGAGUAAUGACUGAAAUGUAUGGCAUGUUUGUUUUAUUUUUUUGAUUACCGGAAUGCAAUUUUUGAUGAAGUGUAUGGUAUGCUACAUUUUUACAGGUCAGGAAACAUUGCUGCAGAGAUGUCGAGAGCUGGAAAACAUCCAAGAUACAAGCAAUAGAUAGUGCUAAUCUAGAUCAGAUUUGUAAGAUGUGUUCUAUUUAAGCUCCCUUGCCAGAUUAUCAAGAAUAUUGAGUCAUUAAAGAACUCAUAAUUAUACAUCAAAAAAUUUUGUUGAUCUUAAAUUAGUGUCACAGUUUCUAAAUUUAAAUGUUUUGCUAA
Chenopodium quinoa (quinoa) is the source of this 2476-nucleotide RNA transcript. RefSeq lists it as uncharacterized. The transcript is spliced from 5 exons. NCBI's taxonomy places the organism in Eukaryota, Viridiplantae, Streptophyta, Magnoliopsida, Caryophyllales, Amaranthaceae. The record is from RefSeq and is a predicted model, not a curated record.